GUCUUUUGCCUUUUUAGGGCCACACCCUAAAAAGGUGUGGAGGUUCCCAGACUAGGGGUCUAAUUGGAGCUGUAGCUGCUGGCCUACACCACAGCCACAGCAAAGCCAGAUCCGAAUCGCGUCUGUGACCUACACCGCAGCUCACAGCAACGUGGGAUCCUUAACCCACUGAGCAAGUUUUACAGUUUUAGUUCUUACAUUUAGGCCUCUACUCUAUUUAGAGUUGAAUUUUGUAUGUGGUACUCUUCCCAUCCUUCCCCUCCAUUCCUUAGGCUCCUAGCACUAAUCUAUUCUGCCCAUCAAUACUGCUCUCAGGGAAAGAUUUAAUUAAUUCAUUCACACUAAGGCUUACAUGACUCAUAUGUUUCUCUUGUUAGAAUAUCUACAUUUCAAAAGAGGACAAAAUAUCCCAAUAAUGAAUACAAUUUCUAGUGAUGGAAUUUUUUAAUAUGAGAGUAGCUACUUAUAUAAAUUGCCUUGGUUCACUGUACUGUCUUUGUAGCCUAACUCAUUGCAGACAAAUGAAUUGUCUAUGCCUAUAUAGAUCCAUGUGGAUCAUACAACACAAUGAUGUAGUACUUUAUUUAUUUAUUUUUGCCUUUUUUGUCCUUUGUAGGGUCGUAUCCACGGCAUAUGGAGGUUCCUAGGCUAGGGGUCCAAUUGGAGUUGUUGCUGCCAGCCUACGCCAGAGCCACAACAACGCCCCAUCGGAGCCGUGUCUGCAACCUACACUAGAGUUCAUGGCAACGCCAGAUCGUUAACCCACUGAGCAAGGCCAGGGAUCAAACCCGCAACCUCAUGGUUCCUAGUCGGAUUCAUUUCCGCUGCACUAUGACAGGUACUCCAAUAUAGCGCUUUAUUAAUCAUUAUAGAAUACAGCAAUUUAUAGUAGGCUCAUAGUGUACUUUCCUCUUAGGCAGAAAAGUACAAAGUGCCCUCAAAAUCAUCAAGGAAACAUCACCAUCAUCAGUACUUACUGAACACUUAUUACAUGUUCUGUAUGCUAGACUUCAUUCUAAGGACUUUACGUAUGUUACCUGAUCUAGUCCUCACCGACACUCUAUAAGGUAACUACAUUAUGAAUCACAUAUUGUGGCUGAGGAAAUUAAGGUGCAGAGACUUAAGCAAUGUGUUCAAAGUAGGGCAGUUGCUAUUUGAAGAAAACACCAAACUAUUGAGACACCAGGGUGGAGCUGGCCUCCUCCAGGACUCCUGUGAGGCCCCCAGGAUUUACAACCUGGAAUCUAAUGAAAUUGAGAAUUUAAAAAAUUAUUAUUUUAGAGUCACAGAAUUCGAGAGUGUCCAACAUGCCUUGAAAAAUUGAAGAAAAACAAGAUCCCACCCAAAAAUCAGAAAUAAAACUAGACGCAAAACUGGUACUUCUAGUCUGUGUUCUUUGCAUUCACCCCUUCACUCAUGGUCAUUCAGUAUAAACUUUCCAUAGAAAAUGUUCAUUUACUGUAUAUGGAAAAUGUUGGGGAUACCAAAAUAUAAACAUACAGGCACAAUAAAUAAAUAAGCUCUUUGCUUGCAAAGAGACAAUAGUGUUGGGGGAAAAGUCUGAAAUCAUUGCCAUGAAGUUUGAUGAUGCACUGAUCAGCCACCUAGGGAGCAGGAGCCAGAUCUGACUGGAGGUGCCAGGAAAACUUCACAGGGAAAAAAGAGCAGAAGCUUUCAAAGGAGGCUAAGGCAGGGAAGGGCCAUCCAGGAGAGGAAGCUACAUAGGCCAGGAGACAGGCUGGGAGAUAGCAGAAGUGUCUGGGGAGGUGCAGGGACCUUGUUGCUGUUAAUAAGGCUGAAAAGAUGGGCAGACAGGUGGUGAGAAUUCUUAUGCCAGGCUGAGGAUUAACUUUUUUGUGGGAUCAUGGGUAUUCUUGGUCACAUUUGCAAUGGGAAACAGAUCAAAACUUUAAGUCUGGGAUUAAUAUAUAUAUAUACUACUAUAUAUAAAAUAGGUAAACAAUAAGGACCUACUGUAUAACACAGAGAACUAUACUCAAUAUUUUGUAAUAACCUAUAAUGGAAAAGAAUCUUAAAAAAAUCAUAUAUAUACACACAUAUAUGUAUGUAUAUAUGAGUCACUUUGGUAUGCACUUGAAAUUAACGCAUUGUAAAUUCAAUACAAAUCUGUGGAGAAGGGGUUAGAGCUGGGUAGGUGUAGUGGAUAGGGGAUUUCAAGGAUGGAAGUGACCUGGCUAGAUGUGCUCUUGGGGUAGGGGCAGGAUGGGAAUGCUUCUGAAUAGCUGGAAGGAGAAUGGAUGGAUUUACUGGGGGUCAGGUUGAGAGGCCAUUGCAUUAUUCAGAUGAGAGCACAUGAGCUCUCAUGAGGGCUGCAAAGAUGGGGGUAGGGGUGCAUUGAGUAAUAUUUAGGAAGUAAACUCACAGGGCUUGGUUACUGAGCAUAUCGGGUAUAGGGAGUAAAAGGGAAAAAGUCAAGUCUGUAUCUCUGGUUUCUGAGCUGGGAGAUGGAGUAGAGAGUAAGGCCUCUCACUUCUUUUUUUGCACUCAUGCAUGCAAGCUGUAAAAAAUUCAACCAUGCAGACCCGGAAAAAGUAACAAGUAAUAGUUCCCUUCUCCUUUCCUGUUUCACCUCCAGUGCCACCCUCCAAGGCCACUGUUAAUGCUAUCUUUGUGUAUUCCUUCAGCUGUUUUUCUACACCCAUGCUGAACUGUUAAUUUUUUAAAUACAAAGAAUGAUUCUGCUACAAAGACAUCUUGCUAAACUGUUGAAGUUUCUAGAGAGAAUGUCUGCAAUCAACUCUGCCUAUCACGGAGUUGGGCAAAGUUUCAGGAAGGGGGACAGUUUCAGCGAUGAUACUUCUUCUGGGAACCAUAUCACUGGGAGUUCAUUUGGGCUAGUCAUAGAUUCACCACUUUUUACAGCACAGUCAUUCAGAGGACCAAAAAAUUGCCACACAAUGUCCAAGUACAAUGCACCAGUAAUGAAACUGAUAAACCUUAUUUAUCUACAAUUCUCCUAUAAUAUAUCUCCAAAGUUAAAUAUAAAAAUAUAAUUCUCUUUAGUAUUCAGUGCCCUGGAAAUGCCAACAGGAUUGUUUGUAUGUACAUCAGCUUUCAAUUGGAGAAUUAGCUUUGGAAAUUUUUCUUUCCCUGUGACCUAGAUAAUAUUACUUCUACAAAUUAAAAAUAAGGAAAAUGUCAUAGGGAUGUGAAGAGAAGAUUUUGAUGGCAUACGCAACUGCAGUUGAAUGGGAUCUCACAAAUACACACACAAUACAUUAAAGUUGCUCAAGUUUUCAGAUGAAAAACAAAACCUACCUUUUUAUGGAGCCAGAAUAAAUCAUACUGAACACACUAAAUUGUGCAUGUUCCUACAGGGAAUUCACUGGUUGGGAGCUGCUACCAAGAACUGAAAUGGAAUAAAAUAGCCCCAUUUAAGAACUCUAAAUCUUUCUAAAGUUACAUUUCAGAGAGAACCUAUAACAAAAUUACAUUAGAAUGGUAACUGAGCAUACCAGAAGGUUGGGCAAGAAAAAAUUUAAUUCUCAAUUUGUCUAAAAUUUAAGUCUUAUGUUUAAUAUUUUUAACUUGGUAUAAAAAUAGAAACUAAUAGGUAGCAAGUGUUAAUUCUUGGUUCAUUGGUUUUCUUAAAAUGUGCUUAUUAUUGUAAUUGUUUCCAGUGAGGCAUCUCCCCGGUUCAGAAAGUAAUUAUAAAAUGAACAAUAAUUAUUGUAAUAAAGAAUAGAUAACAUCCAUUGAGCAUUUGUUAUGUGCCAGGUACUAUUUUGAGAUGUUUACAUCAUUCCAUUCAUCCUUACAAUCCAUUAUAUUCCCCCAUUUGAGACAUAUAACCAAUCCUGACUUCUAGUAUUGUGUAUUAUGGACUAAAGGGCUGCUUAAUCAGGGAGUCGUUUGGGGGUGACAAAACAUUCAAUGGUUUCAAAAAUAUUUGUGCAAGGAAAUCCUGUCCAAAUGAGAUGUUUGAAGCAGCUUCAUGGCUGAGAGUAAAUUACCCAGGUUGGUUACAGCAAUAAAGUGGAACUUAAGCUCUUGGUUCCAACCCCGGCAGACAGAGAGUCCAAACUCAGAAACAUUACCCUUUGACAUCUUAGAAUAGAGGUUGCCAGGUUAGGGCAUCCAACAUGGAUGCAGAGGAGAACUGUUUCCAGUUUUCAAAUUAGGGAGAGGUUGUGUAUGCCCUGGGGAGGUGCAGUGGGUAGCUGUGGAUAUGUGCCAUGACAAAGGCACCCACAUCAUCAAUGAGCUCUCACCCAGAGUUAUGAAAAGUUGAAUUUGUUGCUGUCAAAACAAUCAGACAGACCAAACAACAAAAACAAUCACAUAUAUAUGUUCCCGUUAGAAUGCUCACAAAGACAUUUUGUUAAAUGAAAAAGCCAGAUGUAGAAGAGUCUGCAGCAUGGUAUAUUAUCAUUUGUUAGAAAGCAGGUGAUGAGAGAGAAUAUAUUUACAUCUCUGCUAAGAUGGUCAGUGAAUAUAAUAGGAAAAUUUCACAAGAAAUUGCCUCAAGAGAGAGAGCCAGGGAGAUUGAAGGUCAGGGAUAGAAGGAGACUUAGUUUUCACCUGUUUACCAUUUUUUAAAUUUUGUAAACCAUGUAUAUACAUUACUACUUCAGUUAGGUAGACAAAUAAUAGAUGAGUGGAUAAAUAAGAUAUCGAUGAUCAGCAAAAUUACUUGCCCCUUCAUAUCCAUUUCUCCUUCAUAUCAGUUUCCCACUCUUCUCCACCCUGCCUGAUACCCUGAGAGGCUGAUCUUUGGUUUCCAAUUAGGUUUGGCCAAUGGAAGCACCAGUAGCAGAUCAGAGGAGAGGAAAGGAGUGACGGGUCAUCCUGCUCCCUGUGGAGUCAUAGUGGACUCCAGAAGUUGACAGAAGGGCACAGUUGCUGUCAGGUGUCCCUCUCCACACAGCCUUCUCUAUCCAUAGAUUCUGAGAACUGUGCCCUCUCCAGUCCCCUUCACUUCUCAUAGCGACUACAUCACCCCUUGUGAUUUCCCUAACUCUGCCCACACCCUUAUAAAUUGUUCCUUUAUUAAACUCUCCUGACUCGCUCAUAUUUGAGUGAGUCAAAGGUUCUGCUGGGACCCAAAGAGACAGAUAAACGGAAAAAUUGUAGACUAGAGAGAUAGAUAAUAAGUAAAUAGAUAAAUAGAUGUGAUAGAAGGAAGGGAGGGAGGAAGGAGGGGAGGGAGGGAA
Molecule: long non-coding RNA, 5174 nt
Filed under: Sus scrofa (pig)
Lineage: Eukaryota; Metazoa; Chordata; Mammalia; Artiodactyla; Suidae
Description: lncRNA (ENSSSCG00065068706.1)
Source: RNAcentral